UGGGGAAUAUUGCACAAUGGGGGAAACCCUGAUGCAGCGACGCCGCGUGAAGGAUGAAGUAUUUCGGUAUGUAAACUUCUAUCAGCAGGGAAGAAAAUGACGGUACCUGACUAAGAAGCCCCGGCUAACUACGUG
RNAcentral lists this ribosomal RNA (135 nucleotides) under uncultured Bacillota bacterium. RNAcentral describes it as "uncultured Firmicutes bacterium partial 16S ribosomal RNA". It matches the Rfam family "Bacterial small subunit ribosomal RNA", at positions 355 to 507 of the family's 1533-position model. The record is from RNAcentral. Lineage: Bacteria; Bacillati; Bacillota.